UGGGGAAUUUUGGACAAUGGGCGAAAGCCUGAUCCAGCAAUGCCGCGUGUGUGAAGAAGGCCUUCGGGUUGUAAAGCACUUUUGUCCGGAAAGAAAUCCUUGGCUCUAAUACAGUCGGGGGGAUGACGGUACCGGAAGAAUAAGCACCGGCUAACUACGUGCCAGCAGCCGCGGUAAUACGUAGGGUGCAAGCGUUAAUCGGAAUUACUGGGCGUAAAGCGUGCGCAGGCGGUUUGCUAAGACCGAUGUGAAAUCCCCGGGCUCAACCUGGGAACUGCAUUGGUGACUGGCAGGCUAGAGUAUGGCAGAGGGGGGUAGAAUUCCACGUGUAGCAGUGAAAUGCGUAGAGAUGUGGAGGAAUACCGAUGGCGAAGGCAGCCCCCUGGGCCAAAUACUGACGCUCAUGCACGAAAGCGUGGGGAGCAAACAGGAUUAGAUACCCUGGUAGUCCACGCCCUAAACGAUGUCAACUAGUUGUUGGGGAUUCAUUUCCUUAGUAACGUAGCUAACGCGUGAAGUUGACCGCCUGGGGAAUACGGUCGCAAGAUUAAAACUUAAAGGAAUUGACGGGGUCAUAGCUGUUUCCU
This 587-nucleotide ribosomal RNA is filed under the name uncultured bacterium. RNAcentral's name for it is "partial 16S ribosomal RNA". It matches the Rfam family "Bacterial small subunit ribosomal RNA", at positions 355 to 1375 of the family's 1533-position model. The record is from RNAcentral.